RNAcentral lists this ribosomal RNA (253 nucleotides) under uncultured bacterium. RNAcentral's name for it is "partial 16S ribosomal RNA". It matches the Rfam family "Bacterial small subunit ribosomal RNA", at positions 524 to 776 of the family's 1533-position model. The record is from RNAcentral.
UACGGAGGGUGCAAGCGUUAUCCGGAUUCACUGGGUUUAAAGGGUGCGUAGGUGGUCGGGUAAGUCUGAUGUGAAAUCUCCGAGCUCAACUCGGAAAUGGCAUUGGAUACUACUUGGCUAGAGGGUUGGAGGGGGGACUGGAAUACUUGGUGUAGCAGUGAAAUGCGUAGAUAUCAAGUGGAACACCAGUGGCGAAGGCGAGUCCCUGGACAACUCCUGACACUGAGGCACGAAAGCUAGGGGAGCAAACAGG